UACGUAGGGGGCGAGCGUUGUCCGGAUUUAUUGGGCGUAAAGAGCGUGUAGGCGGCCCUCCUAGUCGCGUGUGAAAGCCCCGGGCUCAACCUGGGAACGGCGCGCGAAACGGGGGGGCUGGAGUUCGGGAGAGGAGCGUGGAAUUCCCAGUGUAGAGGUGAAAUUCGUAGAUAUCGGGAAGAACACCGGUGGCGAAGGCGGCGCUCUGGACCGAGACUGACGCUGAGGCGCGAAAGCUAGGGGAGCAAACGGG
RNAcentral lists this ribosomal RNA (253 nucleotides) under uncultured bacterium. Its description in RNAcentral is "partial 16S ribosomal RNA". It matches the Rfam family "Bacterial small subunit ribosomal RNA", at positions 524 to 776 of the family's 1533-position model. The record is from RNAcentral.